CACAGACCUAAACAACCACAACACAUCAGGGAGCAAAGAAACUCUGCCUGGCAUAGCUCUGAAAGGCUUCUGCUUUUUAGCAGCCCAAAAAGCUGGGUGUGGGGUGUAUGCUGACCUCCAUGCCCACGUCACUCCUGUUUCCUGCCUGUACACAAUGUCCUGAAAGCACCUUCCACCACCUUAACCUCACCACCAGCAUUGUGCAAUAGAUGAACUGCAUUUUCCUAGGCUGCUUUAUACUGCUCCAGCGAUGCCACACCGCUGAACUGACAGUGUAUAAAAGAGUCUAAAAGAUAAAAAAGAGACCUGGACGUUAAAAAAACAUCCUUUCAUGUCUCUAGAACAUUUUCUUUAUUCUACACAAGUACCAAAUACUUCUGUUUUCUCCAAAAUUAAAAAAAAAAAGGAAAAAAAAAGAAGGAAACUCACUCAUUUAAUAUUCCUACUCCCCCUAUAUACCUCAUGGUAUUUAAAAUACCAUCUUUAAGGGC
This is a long non-coding RNA of Pezoporus occidentalis (night parrot), 491 nucleotides long. RefSeq lists it as uncharacterized. The transcript is spliced from 3 exons. NCBI's taxonomy places the organism in Eukaryota, Metazoa, Chordata, Aves, Psittaciformes, Psittacidae. The record is from RefSeq and is a predicted model, not a curated record.